UAUUAUUGGGUCUAAAGGGUCUGUAGCCGGCCGGAUAAGUCUCUUGGGAAAUCCAGCAGCUUAACUGUUGGGCUUUCAGGAGAUACUGUCUGGUCUCGAGGCCGGGAGAGGUGAGAGGUACUUCAGGGGUAGGGGUGAAAUCUUGUAAUCCUUGAAGGACCACCAGUGGCGAAGGCGUCUCACCAGAACGGACCUGACGGCAAGGGACGAAAGCUAGGGGCACGAACCGGAUUAGAUACCCGGGUAGUCCUAUAUCGUAAACGAUAACUCGUAUAGGUGUCGGCCAGCGGUGCGAGCAGUAGUCGCUGCUAGUAGGGAAAGUCCGUGAACGCGAUGCCAUCAUGUGGAAGUAUCGGACUCGCAAGAGUGAUAACUU
Molecule: ribosomal RNA, 376 nt
Filed under: uncultured archaeon
Lineage: Archaea
Description: bacterial SSU rRNA
Rfam family: Archaeal small subunit ribosomal RNA
Source: RNAcentral